RNAcentral lists this ribosomal RNA (672 nucleotides) under Streptomyces sp. CP2a. RNAcentral describes it as "bacterial SSU rRNA". It matches the Rfam family "Bacterial small subunit ribosomal RNA", at positions 131 to 817 of the family's 1533-position model. Lineage: Bacteria; Bacillati; Actinomycetota; Actinomycetes; Kitasatosporales; Streptomycetaceae. The record is from RNAcentral.
CUGCACUCUGGGACAAGCCCUGGAAACGGGGUCUAAUACCGGAUAUGACUGUCCAUCGCAUGGUGGAUGGUGUAAAGCUCCGGCGGUGCAGGAUGAGCCCGCGGCCUAUCAGCUUGUUGGUGAGGUAGUGGCUCACCAAGGCGACGACGGGUAGCCGGCCUGAGAGGGCGACCGGCCACACUGGGACUGAGACACGGCCCAGACUCCUACGGGAGGCAGCAGUGGGGAAUAUUGCACAAUGGGCGAAAGCCUGAUGCAGCGACGCCGCGUGAGGGAUGACGGCCUUCGGGUUGUAAACCUCUUUCAGCAGGGAAGAAGCGAAAGUGACGGUACCUGCAGAAGAAGCGCCGGCUAACUACGUGCCAGCAGCCGCGGUAAUACGUAGGGCGCAAGCGUUGUCCGGAAUUAUUGGGCGUAAAGAGCUCGUAGGCGGCUUGUCACGUCGGUUGUGAAAGCCCGGGGCUUAACCCCGGGUCUGCAGUCGAUACGGGCAGGCUAGAGUUCGGUAGGGGAGAUCGGAAUUCCUGGUGUAGCGGUGAAAUGCGCAGAUAUCAGGAGGAACACCGGUGGCGAAGGCGGAUCUCUGGGCCGAUACUGACGCUGAGGAGCGAAAGCGUGGGGAGCGAACAGGAUUAGAUACCCUGGUAGUCCACGCCGUAAACGGUGGGCACU